GAGGUACUCCCUCCGUUCCAAAUUACUCGUCGCAGAAAUGGAUGUAUCUAUAACUAAAAUACAUCUAGAUACAUCCAUUUAUUGGACGAGUAAUUCGGAACGGAGGGAAUACCUG
Non-coding RNA from Triticum aestivum (bread wheat), 115 nucleotides. NCBI's taxonomy places the organism in Eukaryota, Viridiplantae, Streptophyta, Magnoliopsida, Poales, Poaceae. The record is from Rfam.